This 318-nucleotide ribosomal RNA is filed under the name uncultured Lachnospiraceae bacterium. Its description in RNAcentral is "bacterial SSU rRNA". It matches the Rfam family "Bacterial small subunit ribosomal RNA", at positions 28 to 339 of the family's 1533-position model. The record is from RNAcentral. Lineage: Bacteria; Bacillati; Bacillota; Clostridia; Lachnospirales; Lachnospiraceae.
GAUGAACGCUGGCGGCGUGCUUAAUACAUGCAAGUCGAACGGAGCUGAUGAGAAGCUUGCUUUUUGUCAGCUUAGUGGCGGACGGGUGAGUAACGCGUGGGUAACCUGCCUCAUACAGGGGGAUAACAGUUAGAAAUGACUGCUAACACCGCAUAACAUCGAUCAACCGCAUGAUAGAUCGGUCAAAUAUUUAUAGGUAUGAGAUGGGCCCGCGUCUGAUUAGCUAGUUGGUGAGGUAAAGGCCCACCAAGGCGACGAUCAGUAGCCGUACUGAGAGGUAGAACGGCCACAUUGGGACUGAGACACGGCCCAAACUCC